Centropristis striata (black sea bass) is the source of this 444-nucleotide long non-coding RNA. RefSeq lists it as uncharacterized. NCBI's taxonomy places the organism in Eukaryota, Metazoa, Chordata, Actinopteri, Perciformes, Serranidae. The record is from RefSeq and is a predicted model, not a curated record. The transcript has 2 exons.
CUAUAAAGCCAAGUGUAUCAUAUUUGAUACAUACGUUUUUGAGACCUCUAAAUCAUCAGUGUGAUAUUUUUUCCCUGAAAAACCUGAUGAAUACAUGAAUUGAUGAUUAAAAAAAACUGAGCAACAAAUUUCACAAAAAUACCAGAUGUAACAAAGAUGAUUUGCUGGUUCCACUGGUGGAUCCGUCAUUGCUGCGUGAAAACUUCAUAUCAGCAGAUGUAUGAUGUUGUUUUAUAUGGAAAAAAAAUAUUUUGUUUGUUUGAGGAAAAUGUUAAAAGGAAAGUCAAAGUUUUAUUUGGUUAAAAAUAUUAGGUUUUAUGUGAUUAUGUGAGUUCAAGAAAAGCAAAUUGUGAGCAACAAAUUGCACAAAAAGACCUGAUGUAUCAAAUAUGAUCCAAAUUAAAUUCAUAUAUGAAAAUUGAUAUUGAAUUGAAAAAAAUGUUA